Molecule: non-coding RNA, 73 nt
Organism: Porphyrobacter sp. AAP60
Lineage: Bacteria; Pseudomonadati; Pseudomonadota; Alphaproteobacteria; Sphingomonadales; Erythrobacteraceae
Source: Rfam
AGGGGUGUAGCUCAGUUGGUAGAGCAUCGGUCUCCAAAACCGAGGGCCUGCGGUUCGAGUCCGCACACCCCUG